This is a non-coding RNA of Pelobates cultripes (western spadefoot toad), 269 nucleotides long. Lineage: Eukaryota; Metazoa; Chordata; Amphibia; Anura; Pelobatidae. The record is from the annotation of a GenBank genome assembly.
GGGUAUGCCCUGAUCCCUGUACAUUAGCAGGUAUCAAUUGAUUGAACAAGUAAAUAACAUAUAACAUGUAACGGACUCGCAGGUCCCAACAUUAAGUGUGUAGACAACACUCAAACAACGUUACAUAGUACUUCUAUAUGGCAUUUGGUCACGUUUAACACGUUAAGACAUACAUAUGAGUGAUCGGAUUGCGGCUUGAGUAGAGGGAUAUUCAUAAGUUUGUACCUUGCGUCUGUUUUAUGUGAUCCUCUAGUAUUUCCUUAUCACCC